ACCACUACUCAUUAGCACCUAUACUGGAAUAUCCUCAGGCAAAAAGAAGCAAGAGUGAGCAAUACACUGCCCUUGAAGAAUGACAUGUGAAUAAAUCUAAUGUGGGAAGUGUCAGAAGAGUUUGAAAAACCAAACAGCUGCAGUUUAAAAGAAGAGACCCUAUAUUAGGGCACAGAAAGAGGGCAAAGGCAGAGUUGGGAACAUAUGCUCGGUAACUGAGAUCUUGCUUCUUGUUUUAUUAAGAAGAUUGAAGCCAUCAAAGAUGGUGUCAACUCUGUCUUCCUGAUCAUUAAUGAAGACAUUAAAUAAGAACAGGCCUAACACCAGCCCCUGAAGAAUUCCAGAAGACACCUCUCUGAAACUCAGUGCCAUUUAUCAUUAUUCUUUGUUUACAGCCCUUCUGGCAAUUUUGAGCUAAUGCAAAUCAAUAUCCAUGCCAAAUUCAAAUGAAGUACAAAUACUAUUAUUUUUAAUUCUAGUAUCUUACAUUUCAUAGUAAAUAAAAAUGAUCGUUUAAUACAGCAUCAUUGUAUCUGAGAGAAAAACAGCUUAAUAGACAGAGCAAUGGCUUUGGAGUUAAAAAAACUGAGUUUGAGUCUCUGCUCUGUUAUUUACUAUUUGUGUGAAUUUGGGCAAGACAAUUAACAGAUAAAGAAAAAGACACAACAGCUUGGGACCUCAGUUAACUCAUAUGUAAAAUGAGAUGGUUGGUUUAAGCAACUUCAAAUGUGAUUUUCAACUCUAAAUCUAUCACUUUGUGAUCAGCUGGUUUGAAUUGGAAAUGGAUAUAGAAAUACACACUAAUGUCAUUAAUUGGAUAUGUGAAAACAGGAUAUGAUGCAAAACAAAGUUAUAAGGGACAGGGAGUUUCAUAGGAAUUACGCUAUAAAUGGAUGACUGCCUAACUGACAUUAUACAAUAUUAGAGGGGAAUGGUUUUAAUGCAUUAAUAAUUCUAUAAAAAAUUUAUUGGUUGAAAAAAGUGUUAGGUGGAAUAUGACUGACUCAUUAUUUACUUAUUUUUAAUAAUAUUUGGGAAAAGCCAGUUACUUGUGUGGUUGGAGAAACAAUUCAGAUGAGAAAGGAAAAAGGGAAUUAUCUAAAAGGAUCAACCCGGAUUCACAGAGAACUUACUAAGUCAAAUUUAAAAGGUAUAUUUAAGUAUGUCUUUGUGAGAGUAUAACUUGAUCUUGUAAAAAUAGUGUCAGGAGUAAAAAUAAAUCUCAGAAUGAACUGAAGCUUGCAAAGAAAACUAAACAUUUUUUUAAGCCAUAUUAAGGAAAAGAAGAAGAUUGAAGAAAGCAAGGACUGCAGCUUGGGAUGAAAAGGACAAUGAUAACUGAUAAAGAGAAAAAAACCCACUCAAUUCCAGUUUUAUUUCUCGUUUCUUUGCCCAAGAUAAAAUAUUUUUUGAGUUAGAAAGAACUGAAGAAAAAUGGCUAAUACAAAUCUAUGCUUACGAGAGCUAAGACAAUUGUAAGAGAUCAUCUAACAGCCCUUGAUGAAUUCAAGUCCGUCAGCCCAGAUGAACAAUAUUCUUGAAAUAUAAUUACUGAACUACUGUUAGUGAUAGCUGAAAUAUCAUAGAGGUGUUACAUGCCCGAGUCCUUCAAACCAGAUUAAAAUGUAGUUGGGAAAUAUUUAAUAAAAUAGAAUAAAAGUACAAUACAACAUAGGUAAUUCUAGUUUGCGAUUUUCUAAAUGAAUAUGUGGCCUGCAGGAAAGAAUCAGUUUGGCUUUAGCAACAACA
Phascolarctos cinereus (koala) is the source of this 1749-nucleotide long non-coding RNA. RefSeq lists it as uncharacterized. The record is from RefSeq and is a predicted model, not a curated record. Lineage: Eukaryota; Metazoa; Chordata; Mammalia; Diprotodontia; Phascolarctidae.